RNAcentral lists this ribosomal RNA (1087 nucleotides) under uncultured organism. RNAcentral's name for it is "bacterial SSU rRNA". It matches the Rfam family "Bacterial small subunit ribosomal RNA", at positions 115 to 1235 of the family's 1533-position model. The record is from RNAcentral.
ACGUGGGUGACUUGCCCCGAAGAUGGGGAUAACCUCUGGAAACGGGGGCUAAUACCCAAUGUGCUCGGUGAUUCGGUUCAUCGAGUAAAGCUCCGGCGCUUCGGGAGAGGCCUGCGGCCCAUCAGCUAGUUGGUAGGGUAACGGCCUACCAAGGCAGAGACGGGUAGGGGGCGUGAGAGCGCGGACCCCCACACUGGCACUGAGAUACGGGCCAGACUCCUACGGGAGGCAGCAGUAAGGGAUAUUGCGCAAUGGACGAAAGUCAGACGCAGCGACGCCGCGUGGGCGAUGAAGGCCUUCGGGUUGUAAAGCCCUUUUAUGGGGGAAGAGAAAAAGGACGGUACCCCAGGAAUAAGUCCCGGCUAACUACGUGCCAGCAGCCGCGGUAAAACGUAGGGGACAAGCGUUAUCCGGAUUCACUGGGCGUAAAGAACGUUGAGGCGGUUCCGUAAGUUGGGCGUGAAAGCUCCGGGCUUAACUCGGAGAUGUCGUUCAAUACUGCGGGGCUUGAGGACAGCAGAGGAAGGUGGAAUUCCCGGUGUAGUGGUGAAAUGCGUAGAUAUCGGGAGGAACACCCGUGGCGAAGGCGGCCUUCUGGGCUGUUCCUGACGCUGAAGGCGAAAGCUAGGGGAGCGAACGGGAUUAGAUACCCCGGUAGUCCUAGCUGUAAACGAUGGAUGCUGGGUGUGGGGGGUGUAAAUUCCCUCUGUGCCGAAGCAAACGCGUUAAGCAUCCCGCCUGGGGACUACGGCCGCAAGGCUAAAACUCAAACGAAUUGACGGGGGCCCGCACAAGCAGCGGAGCGUGUGGUUUAAUUCGAUGCUACACGAAGAACCUUACCUGGGUUUGACAUGCACGUGGUAGGGAACCGAAAGGGGACCGACCUUCGGGAGCGUGCACAGGUGCUGCAUGGCUGUCGUCAGCUCGUGCCCGUGAGCUGUCGAGGUUAAGUCCCGUAACGAGCGCAACCCUUGCCCUUAGUUACAAGUGUCUAAGGGGACUGCCCGGGUCAAUUGGGAGGAAGGUGGGGAUGAUGUCAAGUCAGCAUGUCCUUUAUAUCCAGGGCUACACUCACGUUACAAUGGCC